This 706-nucleotide ribosomal RNA is filed under the name Photobacterium angustum. Its description in RNAcentral is "bacterial LSU rRNA". It matches the Rfam family "Bacterial large subunit ribosomal RNA", at positions 242 to 998 of the family's 2925-position model. Lineage: Bacteria; Pseudomonadati; Pseudomonadota; Gammaproteobacteria; Vibrionales; Vibrionaceae. The record is from RNAcentral.
AGUAGCGGCGAGCGAAACCGGAUUAGCCCUUAAGCUAGUUUUGCGUUAGGUGAAAGUUCUGGAAAGUUCUGCGAUACAGGGUGAUAGCCCCGUAACCGACAACGCAUUAUCAGUGAAAACGAGUAGGACGGGACACGUGAUAUCCUGUUUGAAUAUGGGGGGACCAUCCUCCAAGGCUAAAUACUCCUGACUGACCGAUAGUGAACCAGUACCGUGAGGGAAAGGCGAAAAGAACCCCUGUGAGGGGAGUGAAAUAGAACCUGAAACCGUGUACGUACAAGCAGUAGGAGCCCACUUGUUGGGUGACUGCGUACCUUUUGUAUAAUGGGUCAGCGACUUAAUUUUAGUAGCAAGGUUAACCGUUUAGGGGAGCCGUAGGGAAACCGAGUCUUAACUGGGCGAAAUAGUUGCUAGGAUUAGACCCGAAACCGAGUGAUCUAGCCAUGGGCAGGUUGAAGGUGAGGUAACACUUACUGGAGGACCGAACCGACUAAUGUUGAAAAAUUAGCGGAUGACUUGUGGCUAGGGGUGAAAGGCCAAUCAAACUCGGAGAUAGCUGGUUCUCCCCGAAAGCUAUUUAGGUAGCGCCUCGGACGAAUACUACUGGGGGUAGAGCACUGUUAAGGCUAGGGGGUCAUCCCGACUUACCAACCUUUGCAAACUCCGAAUACCAGUAAGUACUAUCCGGGAGACACACGGCGGGUGC